AGCUAAUGGACUUUACUUCCUCUGC
RNAcentral lists this microRNA (25 nucleotides) under Ascaris suum (pig roundworm). RNAcentral's name for it is "asu-miR-5364-5p". The record is from miRBase by way of RNAcentral. Lineage: Eukaryota; Metazoa; Nematoda; Chromadorea; Rhabditida; Ascarididae.